UUUUAGCAUUGGAUCUCGUAUUUUGAACAAGUAUAGAAGUCGUUUGCAUGAUGAAACAGUUCAAACUCUCUUGUGCACACGGAGUUGGUUACAUGGUUUUGGAGAUGAUGAUGAGGAGGAGGAGUCAAGCAUUGAUGAUAUAAGACUUUCUAAACAAGACUCAAAUGUUGUUGUUGAUGAAGAGGAUGAAGAUUAGAGGCAUAAUU
This is a long non-coding RNA of Diospyros lotus (date-plum), 206 nucleotides long. RefSeq lists it as uncharacterized. The record is from RefSeq and is a predicted model, not a curated record. The transcript has 2 exons. Lineage: Eukaryota; Viridiplantae; Streptophyta; Magnoliopsida; Ericales; Ebenaceae.